CCUACGGGAGGCAGCAGUAGGGAAUAUUGCUCAAUGGGGGCAACCCUGAAGCAGCAACGCCGCGUGGAGGAUGAAGGUUUUCGGAUUGUAAACUCCUUUUGUUAGAGAAGAUAAUGACGGUAUCUCACGAAUAAGCACCCGCUAACUCCGUGCCAGCAGCCGCGGUAAUACGGCGGGUGCAAGCGUUACUCGGCAGGACUGGGCGUAAAGAGCGCGUCGGCGGGAUAGCAAGUCAGAUGUGAAAUCCUAUGGCUUCACCAUAGAACUGCAUUUGAAACUGUUAUUCUAGAGUAUGGGGGAGGUAGGUGGAAUUCUUGGUGUAGGGGUAAAAUGCGUAGAGAUGAAGAGGAAUACUCAGUGCGAAGGCGACCUGCUAGAACAUAACUGACGCUGAUGCGCGAAAGCGUGGGGAGCAAACAGGAUUAGAUACCCGAGUAGUG
Molecule: ribosomal RNA, 440 nt
Filed under: uncultured bacterium
Lineage: Bacteria
Description: partial 16S ribosomal RNA
Rfam family: Bacterial small subunit ribosomal RNA
Source: RNAcentral